GAUGAACGCUAGCUACAGGCUUAACACAUGCAAGUCGAGGGGCAGCAUGGUCUUAGCUUGCUAAGGCCGAUGGCGACCGGCGCACGGGUGAGUAACACGUAUCCAACCUGCCGUCUACUCUUGGACAGCCUUCUGAAAGGAAGAUUAAUACAAGAUGGCAUCAUGAGUUCACAUGUUCACAUGAUUAAAGGUAUUCCGGUAGACGAUGGGGAUGCGUUCCAUUAGAUAGUUGGCGGGGCAACGGCCCACCAAGGCGACGAUGCGUAGCCGGCCUGAGAGGGCGGACGGCCACACUGGGACUGAGACACGGCCCAG
RNAcentral lists this ribosomal RNA (315 nucleotides) under uncultured bacterium. RNAcentral describes it as "bacterial SSU rRNA". It matches the Rfam family "Bacterial small subunit ribosomal RNA", at positions 28 to 334 of the family's 1533-position model. The record is from RNAcentral.